RNAcentral lists this ribosomal RNA (468 nucleotides) under uncultured bacterium. Its description in RNAcentral is "partial 16S ribosomal RNA". It matches the Rfam family "Bacterial small subunit ribosomal RNA", at positions 28 to 507 of the family's 1533-position model. The record is from RNAcentral.
GACGAACGCUGGCGGCGUGCUUAACACAUGCAAGUCGAACGGAAAGGCCCUGCUUUUGUGGGGUGCUCGAGUGGCGAACGGGUGAGUAACACGUGAGUAACCUGCCCUUGACUUUGGGAUAACUUCAGGAAACUGGGGCUCAUACCGGAUAGGAGCUCCUGCUGCAUGGUGGGGGUUGGAAAGUUUCGGCGGUUGGGGAUGGACUCGCGGCCUAUCAGCUUGUUGGUGGGGUAGUGGCUUACCAGGGCUUUGACGGGUAGCCGGCCUGAGAGGGUGACCGGCCACAUUGGGACUGAGAUGCGGCCCAGACUCCUACGGGAGGCAGCAGUGGGGAAUAUUGCACAAUGGGCGGAAGCCUGAUGCAGCAACGCCGCGUGCGGGAUGACGGCCUUCGGGUUGUAAACCGCUUUCGCCUGUGACGAAGCGUGAGUGACGGUAAUGGGUAAAGAAGCACCGGCUAACUACGUG